Molecule: ribosomal RNA, 162 nt
Filed under: Taraxacum officinale
Lineage: Eukaryota; Viridiplantae; Streptophyta; Magnoliopsida; Asterales; Asteraceae
Description: 5.8S ribosomal RNA
Rfam family: 5.8S ribosomal RNA
About the family: 5.8S ribosomal RNA (5.8S rRNA) is a component of the large subunit of the eukaryotic ribosome. It is transcribed by RNA polymerase I as part of the 45S precursor that also contains 18S and 28S rRNA. Functionally, it is thought that 5.8S rRNA may be involved in ribosome translocation.
Source: RNAcentral
AACGACUCUCGGCAACGGAUAUCUCGGCUCACGCAUCGAUGAAGAACGUAGCAAAAUGCGAUACUUGGUGUGAAUUGCAGAAUCCCGUGAACCAUCGAGUUUUUGAACGCAAGUUGCGCCCGAAGCCAUCCGGUUUAGGGCACGCCUGCCUGGGCGUCACGC